GACGAACGCUGGCGGCGUGCUUAACACAUGCAAGUCGAACGGAGUGCCCAUGAUUGAGGUUUCGGCCAAAUGAUUGGGUUACUUAGUGGCGGACUGGUGAGUAACGCGUGAGGAACCUGCCUUUCAGAGGGGGACAACAGUUGGAAACGACUGCUAAUACCGCAUGACACAUCGAAGGGGCAUCCCUUUGAUGUCAAAGAUUUAUCGCUGAAAGAUGGCCUCGCGUCCGAUUAGAUAGUAGGCGGGGUAACGGCCCACCUAGUCGACGAUCGGUAGCCGGACUGAGAGGUUGACCGGCCACAUUGGGACUGAGAUACGGCCCAGACUCCUACGGGAGGCAGCAGUGGGGAAUAUUGGGCAAUGGACGCAAGUCUGACCCAGCAACGCCGCGUGAAGGAAGAAAGGCUUUCGGGUUGUAAACUUCUUUUAAGAGGGAAGAGCAGAAGACGGUACCUCUUGAAUAAGCCACGGCUAACUACGUG
This 482-nucleotide ribosomal RNA is filed under the name uncultured bacterium. RNAcentral's name for it is "bacterial SSU rRNA". It matches the Rfam family "Bacterial small subunit ribosomal RNA", at positions 28 to 507 of the family's 1533-position model. The record is from RNAcentral.